GAGACGUAUGGUGAGGCAGAUUCCUAAAAUGGGAUUGCUUGGUGUAAGGUGCAGGGAAGGGAAAGAGCAGUGUAGAGGUGUCCUUCUUGCACUGGCUGCUUUUCAGGUAACUUGAACCCAAAGUAAUCAAUAUGCCACUGAGGCAGGUCUUGGGCCCUGGGCCCCAGCACAGGCCUGGCCCCGUCCUGAUGGAUGGCGCUCCCAAGCCAGGGUCAGCUUGCUUGGCCACUGGCUUAGCAUCAGCUCAAGUUCAUCAGGACAAAGGCUGGGCCUGGGGGAAGGAGUGGCUGUUGGGGACUGCAGCAAACACCUCUGGAGGAAGGGCCCUGAGCUAUGCUUUGGACAAUGUAGGGGGUUCUUCCGUGAAGCACUGAAGGGUCUGAGAUUUCACCUACUUUGCAAGCUGAGAAGUGAGCCUGCCGCAGUUUCAGAAGACAAGCCCAGGGUCCGGGACAGACAGUGGACACCUCACAGCAGGAGCAGUAAGGACACAUCACCCAGGGGCUCUGCCAGGGCCAGCCCACACCUGCCUGCAUGGUUCAUGGAGAGGAGGGCUGGGGGGAGGGGACCAGGCACUUCUGUGCUGAGCAUGACCUUUGCCCCAGGGAAACACUAUGGUAAUUAAACUGGACAGGAGACAAACUUGCUCUCUGCUCCAGGGGGUGACACUGUUUCCAUCUUCUAAGGCGGUUCACGAGGAAAACGUCCUCAAAAG
This 715-nucleotide long non-coding RNA is filed under the name Equus asinus (donkey). Its description in RNAcentral is "lncRNA (ENSEASG00005035437.1)". The record is from RNAcentral. Lineage: Eukaryota; Metazoa; Chordata; Mammalia; Perissodactyla; Equidae.